GUUUUACUAUUAGUAUUAGUAUUAGUUGCAGCAGUCUCUGCUAAAAAGUACUACAUAUUUAGAAACAAACUCAACUGACAUGGCGCAUAUCCAGACUGUCAAUUGCGAGGUUUGCAAUUAGCCAGUCUUUGUUUGCAAGACUCUCUCUAAAAAAAUCAGUAAAUUGUGUUGGUAAAUAAAACUUACUCGUAUAUUAUAUCAAUUAUAACGUUUAGAAAUUAUUUGGUGGUGUUUAAAUUCACUAAAAGAAUGGAUGUGGAUUGCCGGAACAGAUUUGGGGGAAGAAGGGAAAUUUGUUUGGAUGACUACCAGAUUUACCAUUUUGCUUAUAAAAAGUUUAGCGCUGGUAGGCUUGAUAGUCUAGGAACACAACGGAGUUGUUUUUGGAAUGAUUGGCCCUGUAAUAAAUUAUUAGUCUACAUCUGUGAGAAUAAACCCAAAAAUUGUCGCACAUAAUAGUUGUUUUCAAAAAUUGGAAAAACCUAAUGUUAAUUGAUAAUAAAAUUUUAAAGCAAA
Long non-coding RNA from Dalotia coriaria, 516 nucleotides. RefSeq lists it as uncharacterized. The record is from RefSeq and is a predicted model, not a curated record. The transcript has 2 exons. NCBI's taxonomy places the organism in Eukaryota, Metazoa, Arthropoda, Insecta, Coleoptera, Staphylinidae.